RNAcentral lists this ribosomal RNA (546 nucleotides) under uncultured bacterium. Its description in RNAcentral is "bacterial SSU rRNA". It matches the Rfam family "Bacterial small subunit ribosomal RNA", at positions 777 to 1320 of the family's 1533-position model. The record is from RNAcentral.
AAUAGAUACCCAGGUAGUCCACGCCGUAAACGAUGAGUGCUAAGUGUUAGGGGGUUUCCGCCCCUUAGUGCUGCAGCUAACGCAUUAAGCACUCCGCCUGGGGAGUACGGUCGCAAGACUGAAACUCAAAGGAAUUGACGGGGGCCCGCACAAGCGGUGGAGCAUGUGGUUUAAUUCGAAGCAACGCGAAGAACCUUACCAGGUCUUGACAUCCCAUUGACCACUAUGGAGACAUAGUUUUCCCUUCGGGGACAACGGUGACAGGUGGUGCAUGGUUGUCGUCAGCUCGUGUCGUGAGAUGUUGGGUUAAGUCCCGCAACGAGCGCAACCCUUGUUCUUAGUUGCCAUCAUUUUAGUUGGGCACUCUAAGGAGACUGCCGGUGACAAACCGGAGGAAGGUGGGGAUGACGUCAAAUCAUCAUGCCCCUUAUGACCUGGGCUACACACGUGCUACAAUGGACGGUACAAACGGUUGCCAACCCGCGAGGGGGAGCUAAUCCGAUAAAACCGUUCUCAGUUCGGAUUGUAGGCUGCAACUCGCCUACA